Molecule: ribosomal RNA, 1165 nt
Filed under: Hydatigera taeniaeformis
Lineage: Eukaryota; Metazoa; Platyhelminthes; Cestoda; Cyclophyllidea; Taeniidae
Description: SSU rRNA
Rfam family: Eukaryotic small subunit ribosomal RNA
Source: RNAcentral
GAUGGUGCUGUACGCACACAUGUUGUGCAGCCUGUCAGGUCUGCAGCCUUUGGAUGCCCUUGAAAAGUGUCUGCGGGGGAUGGCACGUUUACUUUGAACAAAUUUGAGUGCUCAAGGCAGGCCGAUGUUGCCUGAAAAGUUUUGCAUGGAAUAAUGGAAUAGGAGUUCUAUUUCGUUGGUCGAAGUAAUGAUCAAGAGAGACAGGCGGGGACGUUUGUAUGGCUGCGCUAGAGGUGAAAUUCAUGGACCGUAGCCAGACAAACUAAAGCGAAAGCAUUCGUCAAGCAUGUUUUCAUUGGCCAUGAGCGAAAGUCAGAGGCUCGAAGACGAUCACCCAUACCGUCACUCUAGUUCUGACCAUAAACGAUGCCAACUGACGAUCCGUGGUGGUAGUGGUGUUACCUUCCCCACGGGCAGUCCCCGGGAAACCUUUAAGUGUUUGGGUUCCGGGGGAAGUAUGGUUGCAAAGCUGAAACUUAAAGGAAUUGACGGAAGGGCACCACCAGGAGUGGAGCCUGCGGCUUAAUUUGACUCAAAUACGGGAAAACUCACCCGGGCCGGACACUAUGAGGAUUGACAGAUUGAGAGCUCUUUCUUGAUUUGGUGGUUGGUGGUGCAUGGCCGUUCUUAGUUGGUGGAGCGAUUUGUCUGGUUAAUCCCGAUAACGAACGAAACUCCAGCCUGCUAAUUAGUGCAUUUGUCCACUGCACCUGUGACGGUGGCGUUGGACGAUACCGUGCUCGCCGCGAGGCAUGCGCUCUGGCGUUGUCACUGCUGGCGUCGUAUGCUGCGUGCAUGCUGGUGCCCACGUGAGCGUUCUACUGUCUCCUCCUGCUCCUCCUUCCCCUCCUCCUCCAUCCUCGUCGUAGUAGUUGUUGCUGCUGUUGUCGUCGUCGGCGGCGGCCGCGACUGCGACGAUGGCGCGAGGGUGGUGGGUGGGUGUGGGGGGGGGGGGGGGGUAGGACGAAAUCAGNACGACUACGUNNNNCUCUAGCCUUCACUCACGUCUAGCCAUUAAUAGCUGACCAAUGNNNNACUAAUGCUGACUAAUUUUNNNNGUUACGGGCGGGAGAAGUCCCCCCAACCCCNNCAAUAACAAAUCUGUGAUGCCCUUAGAUGUCCNNNNCCUCACGCGCGCUUCAAUGACGGUGUCAGCGAGUCAGAC